CUGAGUGAGGGCCUUCGGGCUCGACCUCCAACCCUUUGUGAACACCAACUUGUUGCUUCGGGGGCGACCCUGCCGUUUCGACGGCGAGCGCCCCCGGAGACCAUCAAACACUGCAUCUUUGCGUCGGAGUUUAAGUAAAUUAAUCA
RNAcentral lists this unclassified non-coding RNA (146 nucleotides) under soil metagenome. Its description in RNAcentral is "partial internal transcribed spacer 1". The record is from RNAcentral.